This is a long non-coding RNA of Tachyglossus aculeatus (Australian echidna), 433 nucleotides long. RefSeq lists it as uncharacterized. NCBI's taxonomy places the organism in Eukaryota, Metazoa, Chordata, Mammalia, Monotremata, Tachyglossidae. The transcript is spliced from 3 exons. The record is from RefSeq and is a predicted model, not a curated record.
GGUCAACCUGAGCAGCCUACACCUGCAAAGACCCAAGAAUGAGCCGGGUGGAUCAAGUCUGAAGAAGGGAUUGUAUGAAGUCCAGAAAAAUCCUGCAAGUGUUUAGUUAAGAGGAUGUAUUCCUUUGGAAAUGAGACCAUGGUGCUGCCUACAUCUCUCUGUCCCAGCCAUUCUUGGAGUUGCAGAUACCUGGUUUUGAACCAAGAAUCCUGUAUGGACUCUGAGGUGAAGCAUGCCACAUUCUGAGCUCUGGACUUUCCAGCCUCUCUGUUUCCCUGUGUAAAAUGGGAAGAAGAGGAACAUUCAUGUCAUCGGUGAGUAUGGAGGUCUGAGUUUUGCCACAUGAAUAUUGAACCCCGGAUGACACGGUUGACCUCAAAUCUUUGGCCACACAUUUGAACCUCAUCCUUAGGAUUCACAUCUGAAUUCUCAA